Molecule: ribosomal RNA, 515 nt
Filed under: bacterium enrichment culture clone ALO1_GLFRUDD03GS4T4
Lineage: Bacteria
Description: bacterial SSU rRNA
Rfam family: Bacterial small subunit ribosomal RNA
Source: RNAcentral
GAGUUUGAUCGUGGCUCAGAUUGAACGCUGGCGGCAGGCCUAACACAUGCAAGUCGAGCGGAUGACGGGAGCUUGCUCCUUGAUUCAGCGGCGGACGGGUGAGUAAUGCCUAGGAAUCUGCCUGGUAGUGGGGGACAACGUUUCGAAAGGAACGCUAAUACCGCAUACGUCCUACGGGAGAAAGCAGGGGACCUUCGGGCCUUGCGCUAUCAGAUGAGCCUAGGUCGGAUUAGCUAGUUGGUGGGGUAAUGGCUCACCAAGGCGACGAUCCGUAACUGGUCUGAGAGGAUGAUCAGUCACACUGGAACUGAGACACGGUCCAGACUCCUACGGGAGGCAGCAGUGGGGAAUAUUGGACAAUGGGACGAAAGCCUGAUCCAGCCAUGCCGCGUGUGUGAAGAAGGUCUUCGGAUUGUAAAAGCACUUUAAGUUGGGAGGAAGGGCAGUAAGUUAAUACCUUGCUGUUUUGACGUUACCGACAGAAUAAGCACCGGCUAACUCUGUGCCAGCCGCCG